UACGAAGGGGGCUAGCGUUGUUCGGAAUUACUGGGCGUAAAGGGCGCGUAGGCGGUACUUCAAGUCAGGCGUGAAAGCCCCGGGCUCAACCUGGGAACCGCGCUUGAGACUGGAGAACUAGAGUUCGGGAGAGGAUGGUGGAAUUCCCAGUGUAGAGGUGAAAUUCGUAGAUAUUGGGAAGAACACCGAUGGCGAAGGCAGCCAUCUGGACCGACACUGACGCUGAGGCGCGAAAGCGUGGGUAGCAAACAGG
This 253-nucleotide ribosomal RNA is filed under the name uncultured bacterium. RNAcentral's name for it is "partial 16S ribosomal RNA". It matches the Rfam family "Bacterial small subunit ribosomal RNA", at positions 524 to 776 of the family's 1533-position model. The record is from RNAcentral.